GACGAACGCUGGCGGCGUGCCUAAUACAUGCAAGUAGAACGCUGAAGAGAGGAGCUUGCUCUUCUUGGAUGAGUUGCGAACGGGUGAGUAACGCGUAGGUAACCUGCCUUGUAGCGGGGGAUAACUAUUGGAAACGAUAGCUAAUACCGCAUAACAAUAGGUGACACAUGUCAUCUAUUUGAAAGGGGCAAUUGCUCCACUACAAGAUGGACCUGCGUUGUAUUAGCUAGUAGGUGAGGUAACGGCUCACCUAGGCGACGAUACAUAGCCGACCUGAGAGGGUGAUCGGCCACACUGGGACUGAGACACGGCCCAGACUCCUACGGGAGGCAGCAGUAGGGAAUCUUCGGCAAUGGGGGCAACCCUGACCGAGCAACGCCGCGUGAGUGAAGAAGGUUUUCGGAUCGUAAAGCUCUGUUGUAAGUCAAGAACGAGUGUGAGAGUGGAAAGUUCACACUGUGACGGUAGCUUACCAGAAAGGGACGGCUAACUACGUGCCAGCAGCCGCGGUAAUACGUAGGUCCCGAGCGUUGUCCGGAUUUAUUGGGCGUAAAGCGAGCGCAGGCGGUUUGAUAAGUCUGAAGUUAAAGGCUGUGGCUCAACCAUAGUUCGCUUUGGAAACUGUCAAACUUGAGUGCAGAAGGGGAGAGUGGAAUUCCAUGUGUAGCGGUGAAAUGCGUAGAUAUAUGGAGGAACACCGGUGGCGAAAGCGGCUCUCUGGUCUGUAACUGACGCUGAGGCUCGAAAGCGUGGGGAGCGAACAGGAUUAGAUACCCUGGUAGUCCACGCCGUAAACGAUGAGUGCUAGGUGUUGGAUCCUUUCCGGGAUUCAGUGCCGCAGCUAACGCAUUAAGCACUCCGCCUGGGGAGUACGACCGCAAGGUUGAAACUCAAAGGAAUUGACGGGGGCCCGCACAAGCGGUGGAGCAUGUGGUUUAAUUCGAAGCAACGCGAAGAACCUUACCAGGUCUUGACAUCCCGAUGCUAUUUCUAGAGAUAGAAAGUUACUUCGGUACAUCGGUGACAGGUGGUGCAUGGUUGUCGUCAGCUCGUGUCGUGAGAUGUUGGGUUAAGUCCCGCAACGAGCGCAACCCCUAUUGUUAGUUGCCAUCAUUCAGUUGGGCACUCUAGCGAGACUGCCGGUAAUAAACCGGAGGAAGGUGGGGAUGACGUCAAAUCAUCAUGCCCCUUAUGACCUGGGCUACACACGUGCUACAAUGGUUGGUACAACGAGUUGCGAGUCGGUGACGGCAAGCUAAUCUCUUAAAGCCAAUCUCAGUUCGGAUUGUAGGCUGCAACUCGCCUACAUGAAGUCGGAAUCGCUAGUAAUCGCGGAUCAGCACGCCGCGGUGAAUACGUUCCCGGGCCU
Molecule: ribosomal RNA, 1369 nt
Filed under: uncultured bacterium
Lineage: Bacteria
Description: bacterial SSU rRNA
Rfam family: Bacterial small subunit ribosomal RNA
Source: RNAcentral